CUCUCUCUCUCAAAUCCAAUCCUCAUCUUUGUCCCCAAGUCGGAAUCUGAGCAUCUCCUCUCUGCCGAUGCCGCGAUGCAAGAACCAUCGGAGAGAAGACAGAGUGGGGUGAUUCAAUCGAGUUCGACGGGGGUGGUGUGAAAGGCCUUUAUUUGGGUAGAAAUUCAACGACUUAGUAUUGAAUCUGGAGUGAGGAUGUCUGUGUUGCAGAGCCUUUGAUGGGAGAAAAAAUUCAACGCCUUGGACUGAAUCUUGGUGAUUUUUUUUUCCCUCUUUUAAUAAUUUUUAAUAUUUUAAUAUUUUAAUAUUUUCUCUUAAUUUCAUCACAGCAUCAGACCCACUGUGAUCCUUUCUCCAUCAAACCCAUGUAAUUUUCGUUUUAUGGAGGAUUUGUUUUCUUCCAUGUAUGAGGUUAUGGAUUUGUGCUUCAAAAUAAGGUAUGAAAUUUUGAACAAUCAGGUUGUUGAUUUUCUUUAAAGUCUUGGAUUCUUGAAUUUUCUUCCUACUUUUUUUUUUUUUCAAUUUGAGAUUUGUUUUAUUACUCAAGAACUCUGGUCAUGAUGAAUCCAAUUGGAGUUUUCGGGCUUGUUAGUGGAGAACUGAGGUUGACAUCAAAAGAGAAAGAUGAGUUCUUUAACUGAGAAACCUCAUAACUGGUUUUGGUUUUGGCUAUAUUAUUUCUUAUGUGCAAUUGCAUAUAGUUUUUGUGCAAUUGCAUACAGUUUAUGCAAUUUUUGAGCCCCUGUAUGCAAUUAGCGAUAGUGUGAUGUUUAAAGAAACGUUUGACUUGAAUGCUAUGUCAUUGAGUUAUUUACCCAUUAACAAUCUAGUAACAAUUGAGGUUUCGUUCGUUGAGUAUGUUGUGUUCAUUUGAUAAAUUUAAAUGUUGGUAUGUUCGGUAAGAAAAAAUAAGAGUUCACGAGAAAGAAGAAGACAUGAUUUUUUUUUUUUUUUUUAAGGUGAAGUGUCUUGGGUUGCCAUUACCAUUUCAAAGACUGUAUUGCUAAAUCUGUAAGUGUAUGGUUUAAAUGUGAUGUUCAUGAUAGAUAUUGGUUGUUGUGAUUGCCGUAACUGCUAUAUUUUGGUUGCUCUGGCUAAGGAUUCAGGAAAAGAGCAGUUAAGACAAGUGCAUUUUUGUUACACUGAAAUAUGUGUUUUGAGAUACCAUCACAGUGUUUGAAUAAUCUCUCUCUACCUCCCUCUCAUUUGCAGAAAGGGGUAUACUCACUUGGACUUUUCAUGCAUACUUGGUGAGAUUCUCACCUUCUUCUGAGAGCCUAAUAUUUAGGGGCUUACAUUUGUGUACUCUACAAGUUAUAAAUUGAGCUAUUUAUUCAUGCGAAUGCAACAGUUGCGU
RNAcentral lists this long non-coding RNA (1357 nucleotides) under Prunus dulcis (almond). RNAcentral's name for it is "sRNA ncRNA". The record is from RNAcentral. Lineage: Eukaryota; Viridiplantae; Streptophyta; Magnoliopsida; Rosales; Rosaceae.